This 253-nucleotide ribosomal RNA is filed under the name uncultured bacterium. RNAcentral's name for it is "partial 16S ribosomal RNA". It matches the Rfam family "Bacterial small subunit ribosomal RNA", at positions 524 to 776 of the family's 1533-position model. The record is from RNAcentral.
UACGUAGGGUGCAAGCGUUAAUCGGAAUGACUGGGCGUAAAGGGUGUGUAGGCGGUCUUUUAAGUCUGAUGUGAAAUCCCCGGGCUCAACCUGGGAACUGCGUUGGAAACUGGAAGACUAGAGUACGUAAGAGGGGGGUGGAAUUCCACGUGUAGCAGUGAAAUGCGUAGAGAUGUGGAGGAACACCGAUGGCGAAGGCAACCCCCUGGGACGAUACUGACGCUGAGGCACGAAAGCGUGGGGAGCAAACAGG